This 38-nucleotide ribosomal RNA is filed under the name Hylocomiadelphus triquetrus. RNAcentral's name for it is "25S ribosomal RNA". Lineage: Eukaryota; Viridiplantae; Streptophyta; Bryopsida; Hypnales; Hylocomiaceae. RNAcentral also lists the same sequence under 201 other names. The record is from RNAcentral.
CAGACCUCUAAUCGGAAAAGACUACCCGCUGAGUUUAA